This is a long non-coding RNA of Podarcis muralis (Common wall lizard), 226 nucleotides long. RefSeq lists it as uncharacterized. NCBI's taxonomy places the organism in Eukaryota, Metazoa, Chordata, Lepidosauria, Squamata, Lacertidae. The record is from RefSeq and is a predicted model, not a curated record.
CAGAGAAUGCUAUUCCGAAGGCCCAAGCCACCUCCAAAACCCGUAAAAAAUUCCAAGAAGACCAUACAAUCCAAUUAUUACAGAGGAAGAAAUAUUUGAAAUGGAAGUAAAGAAAACUAAUCUCUUGUUUGAGAUGAAAACAAUGGAAAUGAGAAGAGAGGAAGAGCUGAAGGAAAGAAUAAAGAAAUACAUGCUCAAUGGGAGAAGGAAACCUCCUCCAGAAUCC